GAUGAAGAACGCAGCGAAAUGCGAUAAGUAAUGUGAAUUGCAGAAUUCAGUGAAUCAUCGAAUCUUUGAACGCACCUUGCGCCCUUUGGCCAUUCCGAAGGGCAUGCCUGUUUGAGUAUCAUGAACACCUCAACUCCUCAUGGUCUUCUAUGAUGAGCUUGGACUUUGGGGGCUUGCUGGCCCAUUUGGUCAGCUCCUCUCAAAUGAAUCAGCCUACCAGUGUUUGGUGGCACCACAGGUGUGAUAACAAUCUACGCUUGAGGUUUUCCACCAGGCAACCUUCAGUAAUUGGGGUUCACUGGGGCUCACAAAUGUCUUUCUUCAGUGAGGACAGCUCUUUGAAUGUUUGAUCUCAAAUCAGGUAGGACUACCCGCUGAACUUAAGCAUAUCAAUAAGCGGAGG
Molecule: unclassified non-coding RNA, 403 nt
Filed under: soil metagenome
Description: partial contains 5.8S ribosomal RNA, internal transcribed spacer 2, and large subunit ribosomal RNA
Rfam family: 5.8S ribosomal RNA (bases 1-121)
Source: RNAcentral